UACGUAGGGUGCAAGCGUUAAUCGGAAUUACUGGGCGUAAAGCGUGCGCAGGCGGUUGUGCAAGACAGAUGUGAAAUCCCCGGGCUUAACCUGGGAACUGCAUUUGUGACUGCACAGCUGGAGUGCGGCAGAGGGGGAUGGAAUUCCGCGUGUAGCAGUGAAAUGCGUAGAUAUGCGGAGGAACACCGAUGGCGAAGGCAAUCCCCUGGGCCUGCACUGACGCUCAUGCACGAAAGCGUGGGGGAGCAAACAGG
This 254-nucleotide ribosomal RNA is filed under the name uncultured bacterium. RNAcentral's name for it is "partial 16S ribosomal RNA". It matches the Rfam family "Bacterial small subunit ribosomal RNA", at positions 524 to 776 of the family's 1533-position model. The record is from RNAcentral.